Molecule: ribosomal RNA, 493 nt
Filed under: uncultured bacterium
Lineage: Bacteria
Description: partial 16S ribosomal RNA
Rfam family: Bacterial small subunit ribosomal RNA
Source: RNAcentral
ACGAACGCUGGCGGCGUGCUUAACACAUGCAAGUCGAACGGAAAGGCCUGCUUUCCCUUGUGGAUUGCGGGUGCUCGAGUGGCGAACGGGUGAGUAACACGUGAGUGAUCUGCCCCCAACUUGGGUAUAAGCCUGGGAAACUGGGUCUAAUUCCCGAUAGGACUGCAGGGUGGUGCCUGUGGUGGAAAACGAUUUUCUAGUGGUUGGGGAUGAGCUCGCGGCCUAUCAGCUUGUUGGUGGGGUAAUGGCCUACCAAGGCGGCGACGGGUAGCCGGCCUGAGAGGGUGGACGGCCACAUUGGGACUGAGAUACGGCCCAGACUCCUACGGGAGGCAGCAGUGGGGAAUAUUACACAAUGGGCGGAAGCCUGAUGCAGCGACGCCGCGUGGGGGAUGACGGCCUUCGGGUUGUAAACUCCUUUCGACCGCGAGGAAGCCACCUGGUUGGAAGGGUGGUGACGGUAGUGGUAGAAGAAGCACCGGCUAACUACGUG